AUCAGACACGGUGCCAGCAGCCGCGGUAAUACGAAGGGGGCUAGCGUUGUUCGGAAUUACUGGGCGUAAAGCGCACGUAGGCGGAUAUUUAAGUCAGGGGUGAAACUCCCAGAGCUCAACUCUGGAACUGUCCUUUGAUACGUGGGUAUCUUGAGUAUGGAAGAGGUAAGUGGAAUUCCGAGUGUAGAGGUGAAAUUCGUAGAUAGUUCGGAGGAACACCAGUGG
RNAcentral lists this ribosomal RNA (225 nucleotides) under uncultured bacterium. RNAcentral describes it as "partial 16S ribosomal RNA". It matches the Rfam family "Bacterial small subunit ribosomal RNA", at positions 495 to 715 of the family's 1533-position model. The record is from RNAcentral.